Molecule: non-coding RNA, 1929 nt
Organism: Phasianus colchicus (ring-necked pheasant)
Lineage: Eukaryota; Metazoa; Chordata; Aves; Galliformes; Phasianidae
Source: RefSeq, a predicted model, not a curated record
UCCUCCUCUGGAGUUUUGCAGUAAACCUAGGAUGCGGGUGCAGCAGUAUCUGAGAAGAAGUGGUAGGAUACUUUCCAGUGAGAAACAUCACAGAAGUCUUUGAAAGGAACUUACCUGCAGAGAAGGGCAGCUGUGUGUAGAUCAUAUUCACAAAUACACUGCCAGAAGGCUGGAUCACAAUGUUCUGCCCACAAGAAAAGGCAAUGAUUAUCAAGCAUGUUUAGGAAAGAAAUCCAUUGAUGGCUAAAACAGACAACUAAAUGACAGAAAACUAUGAGGAUUUGACUUCCAAUAUAUCUGCUUUGUUCUUUUCAAAAAUUGAAUUCAUUUGAAAAUGAUAAAACAAAAAAUCAGUCGGUGCUGUUAUGAGUCAUUUGCAUACUCCUUGCAUAUUAAGAUUGGAAAACAUCACUGCAGAAUAUUAGCUGUUUGCAUUUGCUACUUACAGUUUGUCCUCCGCUUAGACUGAUGGCUACGCCCUUGAGGCAAGUCUCAGUAUCAGUGAGACCACACUUGUGGAUGUCACCCAGAACAGUGAAAUCAUUGCUGUCACAGAGCUAGAAGGAGAAAACAAAAUAGCCCAUUGUAUUAGAAAGAUCACACAGUGGUGUUUUUGCUUUUUUUUGUUUAAUUUUUUUUUUUUUUCCUGCAGACUAUGUUCUAUGAGCUGUAUUUGAAGUGUGCCUAUUGGCCAAGUUAUUACAGAGAAACACACAACUCAUUUUCUUGGUGUUAACAAUACUGAACUGAGGACAGCUGAGAUGUGGAAUUACAGCCAUAGGAAAAUUUAAUGUUAAAAUUUAGGGCUUUUUGGAUCUUAUCUAUACAGGUUGAAGGUUUUGGUGUACUUCCAGGGCCCCUGUGAAUCUAACUUUACAUGCUGGUGCCAAAAAGGAAGUUUAGCAUGUCUGAUCUAUGCUUACAUUGUUGAUCCAGCCCUAUGCUUGUGAUUUCUCACUGAAAAUUUUCAUUGAUUUAGUCUAAUCUGUUUUUAAAUUAUGUCAUUCUAGCUCAUUUCUUAAGUGUUUAUGGUUCUCUUUCCUGGUAACAUUCAGCUUGAGCUUUUUCAGAGCAGGUUUUAUUUAAUAUAAAGCCUUCAGGAAAUUGAUUUUUGCAUUACUCACCCAGUACAAAUCAACAGCCAAAUAUAUAUUGCAUUCUGAGAUUUGAAAUCUGUAGUUAACUGAGGCAUACAUACUCAGGAUUCAGUCCCUACUAAUUUAGCGAGUUCAGUAGAUCUUAAGUGUUUUUUAAUGUAUAUAUAGUUUCUGAUGCUGGUUUUAGAAUAUGUGUAUGACUUCUUACCAUUUUGCUUUCAAAUUCUAGUGUAUUCUGCAUUUUCUCUUUCUCAAAGAGACAGUUACAAAACACCAGACAGGGAAUAUUCAAUUAAAAAAAAGGAAAGUGUAGAGGCUGUUUCAUGAAAACUAAAAACUCAGUGCAGUUCUUAACCAAUGAUCAAAUAGAUAAGAAUACUAAAGUAUUUAUUUUCUAGAAAACUAUGGGAAAGCCCAUUGGGAUCUAUUUAAGGUUCCACGUAUUUCCUUUAAGUUUCAGAAAAUUGCUGUAAUUACCAGUAGUUUCAUUUAAACAUUCUUGUAUUUAAUAAAAGUGUUUUCCUUUAGCAAAUUACUUUAACAAGGAAUGUGACUCCUUUUUACCUUGGUUAGGACGUAGCUACAAUCUCCAUAGAAGGAAUAAUAUUUUUCAUCAAAUGUUGUAAUGUGGGAGCCUCCUUCGAUGCUGCAAGUCCCUGGACAUGACUGGGUGACGCAAGUCCAUUCACCCCCAGCACAAGUACUGAAAUGAAGAAGGCAUUCUGUAACCUUGAUAGUGCAUAUAUAAAUUAAAUUAGACAUAAGGGCACCUUUAUUUUCCUUGUGAAUCAUUGCUGAGUAUGCUGCCUUCUGGAGAAAAAUAUACUUACAA